This 468-nucleotide ribosomal RNA is filed under the name uncultured bacterium. RNAcentral describes it as "partial 16S ribosomal RNA". It matches the Rfam family "Bacterial small subunit ribosomal RNA", at positions 28 to 507 of the family's 1533-position model. The record is from RNAcentral.
GACGAACGCUGGCGGCGUGCUUAACACAUGCAAGUCGAACGGAAAGGCCCUGCUUUUGGGGGGUGCUCGAGUGGCGAACGGGUGAGUAACACGUGAGUAACCUGCACUUGACUGUGGGAUAACUUAAGGAAACUGGGGCUAAUACCGGAAAGGAGCUCCUGCUGCAGGGUGGGGGUUGGAAAGAUUCGGCGGUUGGGGUUGGACUCGCGGCUUAUCAGCUUGUUGGUUGGGUAGUGGCUUACCAAGGCUUUGACACGUGGCCGGCCUGAUCUGGUGACCUGCCACAUUGGGCCUGGGAUGCGGCCCAGACUCCUACGGGAGGCAGCAGUGGGGAAUAUUGCACAAUGGGCUGAAGCCUGAUGCGGCACCGCCGCGUGCGGGAUGACGUCCUUCGGGUUGUAAACCGCUUUCGCCUGUGACGAAGCGUUAGUGACGGUACUGGGUAAAGAAGCACCGGCUAACUACGUG